GGAUAAGAAUCCAUAGAAGUGUGAAAAAGCAAAAGCUUUUGGAUUUACAGAAGUUGUUGACCCGAGUUCCUACCAAGAACCUAUUGCUCAGGUUAUUAAGCGCAUUACUGAUGGCGGAGCAGAUUUUUCUUUCGAAUGUGUAGGCGACACUGACAUGAUAACCACUGCAUUGCAGUCCUGUUGUAAUGUAAUACUCA
Molecule: long non-coding RNA, 197 nt
Organism: Arachis stenosperma
Lineage: Eukaryota; Viridiplantae; Streptophyta; Magnoliopsida; Fabales; Fabaceae
Exons: 3
Source: RefSeq, a predicted model, not a curated record